GUUACUGACAGAAGAAGCACCGGCUAACUCCGUGCCAGCAGCCGCGGUAAUACGGAGGGUGCGAGCGUUAAUCGGAAUUACUGGGCGUAAAGCGUACGCAGGCGGUUUGUUAAGCGAGAUGUGAAAGCCCCGGGCUCAACCUGGGAACUGCAUUUCGAACUGGCAAACUAGAGUGUGAUAGAGGGUGGUAGAAUUUCAGGUGUAGCGGUGAAAUGCGUAGAGAUCUGAAGGAAUACCGAUGGCGAAGGCAGCCACCUGGGUCAACACUGACGCUCAUGUACGAAAGCGUGGGGAGCAAACAGGAUUAGAUACCCUGGUAGUCCACGCCGUAAACGAUGUCUACUAGAAGCUCGGAACCUCGGUUCUGUUUUUCAAAGCUAACGCAUUAAGUAGACCGCCUGGGGAGUACGGCCGCAAGGUUAAAACUCAAAUGAAUUGACGG
RNAcentral lists this ribosomal RNA (442 nucleotides) under uncultured bacterium. RNAcentral describes it as "bacterial SSU rRNA". It matches the Rfam family "Bacterial small subunit ribosomal RNA", at positions 474 to 916 of the family's 1533-position model. The record is from RNAcentral.